Molecule: ribosomal RNA, 342 nt
Filed under: uncultured bacterium
Lineage: Bacteria
Description: partial 16S ribosomal RNA
Rfam family: Bacterial small subunit ribosomal RNA
Source: RNAcentral
CCUACGGGUGGCAGCAGUAGGGAAUAUUGCUCAAUGGGGGAAACCCUGAAGCAGCAACGCCGCGUGGAGGAUGAAGGUUUUCGGAUUGUAAACUCCUUUUGUUAGAGAAGAGAAUGACGGUAGCUAACGAAUAAGCACCGGCUAACUCCGUGCCAGCAGCCGCGGUAAUACGGAGGGUGCAAGCGUUCCUCGGAAUCACUGGGCGGAAAGAGCGCGUAGGCGGGAUAGCAAGUCAGAUUUGAAAUCCUAUGGCUGAACCAUAGAACUGCAUUUGAAACGGGUAUUCUAGAGUAUGGGAGAGGUAGGUUGAAUUCUUGGUGUAGUGGUCAAAUCCGUCGAGCU